GGCCCAAGCGACUGUUUAUCAAAAACACAGGUCUCUGCUAAACCGUAAGGUGAUGUAUAGGGGCUGACGCCUGCCCGGUGCUGGAAGGUUAAGAGGAGUGGUUAGCUUCUGCGAAGCUACGAAUCGAAGCCCCAGUAAACGGCGGCCGUAACUAUAACGGUCCUAAGGUAGCGAAAUUCCUUGUCGGGUAAGUUCCGACCCGCACGAAAGGCGUAACGAUUUGGGCACUGUCUCAACGAGAGACUCGGUGAAAUCAUAGUACCUGUGAAGAUGCAGGUUACCCGCGACAGGACGGAAAGACCCCGUGGAGCUUUACUGUAGCCUGAUAUUGAAAUUCGGCA
This 341-nucleotide ribosomal RNA is filed under the name Staphylococcus aureus. RNAcentral describes it as "partial 23S ribosomal RNA". It matches the Rfam family "Bacterial large subunit ribosomal RNA", at positions 1789 to 2129 of the family's 2925-position model. The record is from RNAcentral. Lineage: Bacteria; Bacillati; Bacillota; Bacilli; Caryophanales; Staphylococcaceae.